Molecule: ribosomal RNA, 1904 nt
Filed under: human gut metagenome
Description: bacterial LSU rRNA
Rfam family: Bacterial large subunit ribosomal RNA
Source: RNAcentral
AAGGACGUGAUAAGCUGCGAUAAGCUUCGGGUAGGUGCAAAUAACCUUUGAUCCGGAGAUUUCCGAAUGGGACAACCCAAUUGGUUGAAGGCCAAUCAUCCAACCAAGUUGGAGGCUAACGCAGGGAACUGAAACAUCUUAGUACCUGCAGGAAAAGAAAAUAAACAAUGAUUCCCCCAGUAGUGGCGAGCGAACGGGGAACAGCCCAAACCAUCCAUGUUACGGCAUGGGUGGGGUUGUAGGACUACGCCGUUGCAUGAAGACAUCAGAGAAGAACUUUCUGGAAAGAAAGACCAUAGAGCAUGACAGUUGCGUAUUCGAAUGUUGUCGAAGCAUAGUAGUAUCCUGAGUAGCGCGGAGCACGAGGAAUUCUGCGUGAAUCUGCCGGGACCAUCCGGUAAGGCUAAAUACUCCCGAGAGACCGAUAGCGAACCAGUACCGUGAGGGAAAGGUGAAAAGAACCCCGAGCAGGGGAGUGAAAUAGACCCUGAACCCGUCUGCCUACAAGCGGUCGGAGCGUCGUAAUGACGUGACGGCGUGCCUUUUGCAUAAUGAACCUACGAGUUACCUUCCCCGGCAAGGUUAAGUACCUAAGGUACGGAGCCGAAGCGAAAGCGAGUCUGAACAGGGCGCCAAGUCGGGGGGGGUAGACGCGAAACCGAGUGAUCUACCCUUGGCCAGGUUGAAGGUUGGGUAACACCAACUGGAGGACCGGAUGGGUAAGCGUUGAAAAGCUUUCCAAUGAGCUGAGGGUAGGGGUGAAAGGCUAAUCAAACUCGGAGAUAGCUCGUACUCCCCGAAAUGCAUUUAGGUGCAGCCUCUUUAUAGUAUAUCGUGAGGUAGAGCGACUGAUUGGAUGCGAGGGCUUCACCGCCUAUCAAGUCCAGAUAAACUCCGAAUGCGCGAUAUAUAUUUACAGGGAGUGAGGGCGCGGGUGCUAAGGUCCGUGUCCGAGAGGAGAAGAAUCCAGACCACCGGCUAAGGCCCCCAAAUGAUCGUUAAGUUGAACUAACGAGGUCGGAUCGCAGAGACAGCUAGGAUGUUGGCUUGGAAGCAGCCAUUCAUUUAAAGAGUGCGUAACAGCUCACUAGUCGAGCGAUCUGGCGUGGAUAAUAAUCGGGCAUAAACGAUCUGCCGAAGCCGUGGAUGUCGCAAGACAUGGUAGGGGAGCAUUCCAUGCGGCGUCGAAGAUGAGGGAUGACCCUUGUUGGAGCGCAUGGAAAAGCAAAUGUAGGUAUGAGUAACGAUAAGGGGGGCGAGAAACCCCCCCGCCGAAAGACCAAGGUUUCCUGAUCAACGCUAAUCGGAUCAGGGUGAGUCGGGACCUAAGGCAAAGCCGAACGGCGCCGCCGAUGGAAGAAUGGGUUAAUAUUCCCAUACUGCCUCAUGGAGUGACGUGGAGACGGAGAAGUGACAGUCCUGCCGGCUGACGGAAUAGCCGGUUGAAGGGUGUAGAUAUUGAUUCCCGUAGGCAAAUCCGCGGGGAGAGUCGAACCUGAGAGUAUACGGAGCGCUUGCGCAACGUAAUAUGGACGUAACCAUGCUCCCGAGAAAAUCCGCUAAACUUAUCCAUGCGGCACCCGUACCGUAAACGGACACACGUGGUCGGGUUGAGAAUACUGAGGCGCUCGAGUGAUUCACGGUUAAGGAACUAGGCAAAUUGACCCUGUAACUUCGGGAUAAAGGGUCCCAACGAGAGUUGGGCGCAGAGAAUAGGUCCAGGCAACUGUUUAACAAAAACACAGGGCUGUGCCAAAUUGAAAGAUUACGUAUACAGCCUGACACCUGCCCGGUGCUGGAAGGUUAAGAGGAGAUGUCAUCGCAAGAGAAGCAUUGAAUUGAAGCCCCAGUAAACGGCGGCCGUAACUAUAACGGUCCUAAGGUAGCGAAAUUCCUUGUCGGGU